CCCUUUCUCCCCCUCUGUUAAGUCCCUCCCCCUCGCCAUUCAAAAGGGCUGGCUCGGCACUGGCUCCUUGCAGUCGGCGAACUGUCUGGGCGGGAGGAGCCGUGAGCAGUAGCUGCACUCAGCUGCCCGCGCGGCAAAGAGGAAGGCAAGCCAAACAGAGUGCGCAGAGUGGCAGUGCCAGCGGCGACACAGGCAGCACAGGCAGCCCGGGCUGCCUGAAUAGCCUCAGAAACAACCUCAGCGACUCCGGCUGCUCUGCGGACUGCGAGCUGUGGCGGUAGAGCCCGCUACAGCAGUCGCAGUCUCCGUGGAGCGGGCGGAAGCCUUUUUUCUCCCUUUCGUUUACCUCUUCAUUCUACUCUAAAGGCAUCGUUAUUAG
RNAcentral lists this long non-coding RNA (379 nucleotides) under Homo sapiens (human). RNAcentral's name for it is "non-protein coding lnc-TSPY2-7:1". The record is from RNAcentral. Lineage: Eukaryota; Metazoa; Chordata; Mammalia; Primates; Hominidae.